AUCUGGAUCGGGGACCGGGCAUGGUAGGCAGUUUGACUGGGGCGGUCUCCUCCCAAAGAGUAACGGAGGAGUUCGAAGGUUACCUAGGUCCGGUCGGAAAUCGGACUGAUAGUACAAUGGCACAAGGUAGCUUAACUGCGAGACCGACAAGUCGAGCAGGUGCGAAAGCAGGACAUAGUGAUCCGGUGGUUCUGAAUGGAAGGGCCAUCGCUCAACGGAUAAAAGGUACUCCGGGGAUAACAGGCUGAUUCCGCCCAAGAGUUCAUAUCGACGGCGGAGUUUGGCACCUCGAUGUCGGCUCAUCACAUCCUGGGGCUGUAGUCGGUCCCAAGGGUAUGGCUGUUCG
This 346-nucleotide ribosomal RNA is filed under the name Snodgrassella alvi. RNAcentral's name for it is "Bacterial large subunit ribosomal RNA". It matches the Rfam family "Bacterial large subunit ribosomal RNA", at positions 2238 to 2583 of the family's 2925-position model. Lineage: Bacteria; Pseudomonadati; Pseudomonadota; Betaproteobacteria; Neisseriales; Neisseriaceae. The record is from Rfam by way of RNAcentral.